RNAcentral lists this ribosomal RNA (461 nucleotides) under uncultured ammonia-oxidizing beta proteobacterium. Its description in RNAcentral is "bacterial SSU rRNA". It matches the Rfam family "Bacterial small subunit ribosomal RNA", at positions 202 to 646 of the family's 1533-position model. The record is from RNAcentral. Lineage: Bacteria; Pseudomonadati; Pseudomonadota; Betaproteobacteria.
AAGCAGGGGAUCGUAAGACCUUGCGCUUUUGGAGUGGCCGAUGCCUGAUUAGCUAGUUGGUGGGGUAAGGGCCUACCAAGGCGACGAUCAGUAGUUGGUCUGAGAGGACGACCAGCCACACUGGGACUGAGACACGGCCCAGACUCCUACGGGAGGCAGCAGUGGGGAAUUUUGGACAAUGGGCGGAAGCCUGAUCCAGCAAUGCCGCGUGAGUGAAGAAGGCCUUCGGGUUGUAAAGCUCUUUCAGUCGAGAAGAAAAGGUUGCGACUAAUAAUCGCAACUUAUGACGGUAUCGACAGAAGAAGCACCGGCUAACUACGUGCCAGCAGCCGCGGUAAUACGUAGGGUGCGAGCGUUAAUCGGAAUUACUGGGCGUAAAGGGUGCGCAGGCGGCUCUGUAAGUCAGAUGUGAAAUCCCCGGGCUUAACCUGGGAAUUGCGUUUGAAACUACAAAGCUUAGA